UAAAAAUUGUAAAAAAAUGUGGCGCAGCACAGGCGAAAUGAACUGUGACGAAUAACAACAAGCAGUAGCAGAAGGGUGAAAUAAAGAACAGGAAGAAGAAGCACGUGAAUAUGUCAGAUAUGUAAAACCAUUGUUGUAGGUUAGACGCGUGAAAUUUGAAACAAGUAAGAAAGGAACAAAAAGAGAGAAGAAAUUGAGGAGACUAAAGAACAAAUAAAGAUACAUUUAGGAGAUAUAUGUGUGCGUUGUUUAUUUGUCCAUUGACCAUAAAUUGUGAAAUUAAGCUUGAAAAAUAUAGAUGACAGAUAGAAUAGAAUUGGGUAAUGGAACACCAUUAUGAAAGGUAGUAAUUAUGAUCUGGAAAUAUAUUAGUACGGAAGAACACCGUUGGAAUCUUCUAAUUACAUGGAUGCUAUGUGGAAAGUGAUUAACGUUAAAUGAAUUCUAUCUAAAGGAAUGAAACUUAUUA
Molecule: long non-coding RNA, 469 nt
Organism: Bombus impatiens (common eastern bumble bee)
Lineage: Eukaryota; Metazoa; Arthropoda; Insecta; Hymenoptera; Apidae
Exons: 2
Source: RefSeq, a predicted model, not a curated record